AGAGGGGGCCAGCGUUAUUCGGAAUUAUUGGGCGUAAAGGGCGCGUAGGCGGCCAUGCGUGUCUUCCGUGAAAUCCCUCGGCUUAACUGAGGACGUGCGGAAGAAACUGCAAGGCUCGAGUCCGGGAGAGGGGGGUGGAAUUCCCAGUGUAGCGGUGAAAUGCGUAGAUAUUGGGAGGAACACCGGCGGCGAAGGCGGCCCCCUGGACCGGUACUGACGCUGAGGCGCGAAAGCGUGGGUAGCAAACGGGAUUAGAUACCCCGGUAGUCCACGCCGUAAACGAUGGGCACUUGGUGUCGCGGGUAUCGACCCCUGCGGUGCCGAAGCUAACGCAUUAAGUGCCCCGCCUGGGGAGUACGGCCGCAAGGCUG
This 371-nucleotide ribosomal RNA is filed under the name uncultured bacterium. Its description in RNAcentral is "bacterial SSU rRNA". It matches the Rfam family "Bacterial small subunit ribosomal RNA", at positions 527 to 896 of the family's 1533-position model. The record is from RNAcentral.